CCUCCAGAAAGAAGACUGGAGAGCAUCUGAGGACACAAGGCAAGGCUGUCAGAGAACGGAGGCACCGAAGGAAAUGCUGCAGGAGUGGCCGGAAAGAAACUGAGUAAACAGGGUGAGGCAUCUCCCCUGCAGCUGAAGCAGACAGGAGAGUUAGGAGAUGACAGUCAGAAGCCCUGGCUCAGCCAGGGAGAUAGUUGAGAAAAAAAGAAAGGAAGAAAGAAGAAAAAGAAAAAGGAAGGCAAGAAAGAAAAAAGAAUGAAAGAAGGAAGGGAAGAAAGAAACAAAGAAAAAAGGAAGGAAAGAAAAGGAAGGAAGGUCUGUCUGAAAUCUGAAUAGUUCACUGGCAAUUUAAGAGGCCAGAAAGGAAAUAAACUUGCCUCUAGGGCUCA
Molecule: long non-coding RNA, 389 nt
Filed under: Monodelphis domestica (gray short-tailed opossum)
Lineage: Eukaryota; Metazoa; Chordata; Mammalia; Didelphimorphia; Didelphidae
Description: lncRNA (ENSMODG00000035067.2)
Source: RNAcentral